Molecule: ribosomal RNA, 460 nt
Filed under: uncultured bacterium
Lineage: Bacteria
Description: partial 16S ribosomal RNA
Rfam family: Bacterial small subunit ribosomal RNA
Source: RNAcentral
CCUACGGGAGACAGCAGUGAGGAAUAUUGGUCAAUGGACGGAAGUCUGAACCAGCCAUGCCGCGUGCAGGAAGACGGCUCUAUGAGUUGUAAACUGCUUUUGUACAAGGGUAAACCUGAAUACGUGUAUUCUGCUGAAAGUACUGUACGAAUAAGGAUCGGCUAACUCCGUGCCAGCAGCCGCGGUAAUACGGAGGAUCCAAGCGUUAUCCGGAUUUAUUGGGUUUAAAGGGUGCGUAGGCGGAUUGUUAAGUUAGAGGUGAAAUGUCCGGGCUUAACUCGGGAACUGCCUCUGAUACUGUUGAUCUAGAGAGUAGGUGCGGUAGGCGGAAUGUAUGGUGUAGCGGUGAAAUGCUUAGAGAUCAUACAGAACACCGAUUGCGAAGGCAGCUUACCAGACUAUAUCUGACGUUGAGGCACGAAAGCGUGGGGAGCAAACAGGAUUAGAUACCCCAGUAGUC